CAAAGAUUAAGCCAUGCAUGUCUCAGUGCAAGCCGAAUUAAGGUGAAACCGCGAAAGGCUCAUUAAAUCAGCUAUAAUUCAAUUGAUGGUACAAUCACGGUUACUUGGAUAACUGUGGCAAUUCUAGAGCUAAUACAUGCAAAAUGAGUUCCGACCGCGUUGCGACACCGGCAAUCAAUUGUACGGCCGCAGCGCGGAACGAAUGCUUUUAUUAGAACAAAACCAAUCGGAUCUUUCGUUCGCGGUCGUCCCGGCUCGUUUCCGGAACCGCGAAAUUCGAAGGCCAUCCGCAAAUUCCUGGUGACUCUGAAUAACUUUUGGCUGAUCGCACGGUCACGCACCGGCGACGCAUCUUUCAAAUGUCUGACUUAUCAACUUUCGAUGGUAGGCUACGCGCCUACCAUGGUGAUAACGGGUGACGGGGAAUCAGGGUUCGAUUCCGGAGAGGGAGCCUGAGAAACGGCUACCACAUCCAAGGAAGGCAGCAGGCGCGCAAAUUACCCACUCCCGGCACGGGGAGGUAGUGACGAAAAAUAA
Molecule: ribosomal RNA, 537 nt
Filed under: Solenopotes capillatus
Lineage: Eukaryota; Metazoa; Arthropoda; Insecta; Psocodea; Linognathidae
Description: bacterial SSU rRNA
Rfam family: Eukaryotic small subunit ribosomal RNA
Source: RNAcentral